AUGAGCAGCUCCCGGGAGCACCACGUUUUACUGCGGAAAUGUGAAAUUGUUUUGUGGGGGAAGGGAUGGAAGAACGAGCGAGGCGUUGAUUUGCUCAGAAAGAGAAGAAAUUCUUCAAGAAAGUGCAGCGAGACCCGUACAUUACAUGCAAAAUUCUAUGGAAACAGAGUCCUGCAGACAAAUGUGUGUGUGUUAAUUCCACGCCAAUGGAAAGCAGCAUUUCCACCAGUGGGAUUACUCACCUAUUCCAGUCGAGGAUGAUCACAAACGCUGACAGGUAACUCCCUUUUCAACUCAAGAUAUCGAAACCCUCCCUUUCUUGUCACGAUUGUAUAAAGGUGCUGAGAUUUAAAGUUCGAUUUAGCACGUGUGAGCUGUACUUCAUUAUGCCUUCAUUUGAAGUGUGCAGAGGGCAAUAAUCAAGACAAAAGCUGUCAUUUAAAUUGCUCUUCUGGUCUCUGGCCACAUUUCUGUCGUCUUUUUCUCCAUCUGAAGCAUCACUGAUUAAUCUGAAUUACUCAAGUCAGUUUAAUUAACGUUGCUUUGUCUUUAAAUAGUUUAGCCUUAAUCUGUCUAAUCCUUUACUGGUUAUAAUAAUCCCUGUUAAAUUUGCCUAAUGGUAAAAUAAGCAAACUUGCUCAAGAUAGAAUGAGUAGUACUGAACAUUUGAAGGAAUUUCAUGAUUGCUCACACUUCAUCUAUGUCUGACUCAAUUCUGUGUGAAAGUUCUUAAAAAUUUUCAUGUUCUUACACAACUGGAAAAGCAUUUUAUUGGAAGAUUGUCUCUUUUAAUACGUCUUCUGUCUGGGGGCCUCCAGCGCUAAAAAGAUGUCUCCAAAUGUGAAACUAGUGGUCUCCAGAUUUUCACUCACUUUUUGCAGCAGCAAGUUUCACAUUAGCAGCUUGUAAAACACUAGCAAAUGAAAACUCAUCUGCCGGGCACAUCCCCAGGGCGGCAUUCCCAGGGAGGGCAGCAGGGAUGUUUCCCCCGCAUUCUCCUGGGGGAGUUCCUGUGCAGGAACACCGCAGAGUCCCGGCGCUGUGAGGGGGCGGAGGUGGCGGCGUCCUCAGGGCGCGGUGGCACCGGCCGCACCGGGGUGCUCGGCGCCGCCAACCGUGGAGGGACGGGACGGGCCCAGGGGGCCACCUGAAGUGAGACGUAUUCACGCACAUCACGGGCGGGGAUGAGCUGGGAUAUCACCGUUUC
RNAcentral lists this long non-coding RNA (1207 nucleotides) under Cyanistes caeruleus (blue tit). Its description in RNAcentral is "lncRNA (ENSCCEG00000001853.1)". The record is from RNAcentral. Lineage: Eukaryota; Metazoa; Chordata; Aves; Passeriformes; Paridae.